AUGCUUCGCCGGCUCCAACAUGCCGGGGCGCAAGUGUUGGCCGCCCUCUGGCCCGGCGAGACGAUCCCCCGCACCCGAAGCCGGACUGCCGACUGGCUGGAGGUCGCAGUUGGUCGCUUUGAGGCUUGGAAGGCGUCGGCGGCCCGCCUCGGAGCUGAGCGGGCGUUGGAGUUCGUUCGGGCUUGGUACCCAGGGCUGAGCCUGGACCAGCUGCGCACUUGGCGGAUGGAGGCCGACGCGGAGCUGGAAGAGGUGAGGCCGGCUAUCGCCCAGCGGGCUUCAACGAUCGCCGAGUGCACCGACAUCAGCGUUUUUGCACCCGAGAUCGAUGAUGACGGUGUUGCCCAGCCAGAGGAGUGGUUCGGGCUGAACCCGGCGGUGGGCGAGGACUCGGCGGAGGAGAUCGCCUCCAGCAACGAGGGCGAGGAUGAGGAGGAGGACGGCGAAGACGUCGAGCCGGCUGGUGGAACAACCGGCCGACCUCAGGCCGACCGUGCCUCCAGCAAUGAGGCGCGUGGAAGCGCACCUUCUGCGGGAGGCGGUGACCAAGCCGAGGUUCGCUAG
Molecule: ribosomal RNA, 564 nt
Filed under: Triticum aestivum (bread wheat)
Lineage: Eukaryota; Viridiplantae; Streptophyta; Magnoliopsida; Poales; Poaceae
Description: partial small subunit ribosomal RNA
Source: RNAcentral